GGAAGGUUACAGCUACAAUUCACUCCAUAUGCCUUUAAAAUCCAACAAAAUAUUCGCCAAAUGGUGAACUUUAGGCACUGCUACAUACAUGCCGUUUGAUGUUCUCUUCCUCUUUUGUCCUCCUAUAGUGAAUGUUUUCACAUUCUGCAUUUCUUAUAACCAUUUUUUUUCUGAUUGCAAUCAGUUGCAUCAUUUGCAUGUGUACAUAUAAUUUGUUUGAUUAGUAAUUAGAAAUGAUGAACACAAAUGCAAGAGAAGAGCUUAAUCCACCCUUGUCGAUUCUUCAGAGAUUGGAUCGCCUCGAACGUGUGCUUCUGUUUCUGGAAGAGAAAAACUGUUCCAUAGCAGGGCAUUCUGCUGUACAUGUUGCUGUUGACAAAUGUUCAGAACCCGAUGAACAAUGCAAGAGCUUGUCCUAUUCACUUGAAGAGGCUCAACACAAAGGCACUUGCUGGAUCGUAUAGCACUGCUAGAAAAUAGAGUAAUUAAGCUGAACAUACACAUGGACUUGGGAAACACCUCGAGGUCUAGUUCUUCCACUUCUUUAGUAGCUGAAAAGCUAGGAUCUUGCCCUUCAAGAGAGAAUCAGGAUCCUCUUAUGACACAGGAUAGCAGUGUUAAUGUGGAGGCUUGUUCAUUAAACUCACCAUUAAACUCACCAUCUUGCAGAAGACGAGUCAAAGCCAUGUCAAGAACGGGUUAUAAUAGGAAGUGGCUCAAAUGGUUAAAAUUGGGAUGUUGAUGAUGGUACAUGUUUAGGAUUUUGUAUCCUCAAUAAGUGGAAAGGAGUGGAGAAGAAACUAUAUUUACUUCACUUCAAUGAUCAACAAAUAGCUAGAAAUAGAUACUGCAAGCCUGUGUCUAUUAAUUUUCCUUUGUACCUGUUUUGAUUUCCAUGGCAUGAAACAGGUUAUAAAUUUCAAAACUAGAAAAAAAGUACACCCUUUAGAAGAAGACAAUGGAAUCGAAUCGUCCCCUGUAAAAUUGGCCCUAUUCCUCUGAAAAAUCUUUGCAAUUGGUUUUUUUUAUUAAAGGUAUGUUUGGCUGUCAAAAUAAGGAGGAUUAGAUAUGAGAAGUUGUUAAUCAUUAGUUUAUUGAGCCAAUAGGGUGGCUUAUCAGUUAUCACUUCCAAUAAAACAUGGGGUGGGAGGAGUAUCUCACUUGGUUGAGCUAAGUGUAGAAACAUAUAUUAGAGAUGGAGGUCUAGGGUUCGAAUCUUGAGGAUGAGCAUUUGUAGUUACUAACAUCUAACCACUAACAUUUGCAUAUCAUAAAAAUAAAAAUAAAAAUCCAAUAAAUCAUCAAA
This is a long non-coding RNA of Lotus japonicus, 1306 nucleotides long. RefSeq lists it as uncharacterized. NCBI's taxonomy places the organism in Eukaryota, Viridiplantae, Streptophyta, Magnoliopsida, Fabales, Fabaceae. The record is from RefSeq and is a predicted model, not a curated record. The transcript has 4 exons.